CCCACUGCCCUGUAUGUGAGGCCAAGACAGCACCAGGCUCUCGGGUAUCUGAACUGAUCCAGAGGGACCUGCACAGCUGGGUCAUAUGAGUGGACAACAGCUGGCUGCAAAAUGAAGCAAAAGCUGUCUCAUUUCAAGGGACCAAACUGAUUGUCAUCUGGGCCUCCAAAUCUCACCACCCUGUCAUGCGAGAGCAUGACACACAAAUAAACCUGGACAUCUCAGUCUGGAUGCUUGGAAGUGGAAGGCAAAGUCUCACUGCCACUGCUAUCACAUUUCCCAGCUGCAGGAAGCACCACCCUGGCAUAUUGCAAAGGCAGCAUUGCAUUGUCAGCUACCUUAAGUUAAAGGUGGCCUCACACCAGGCUGGACUUUGGAGCACCUACUAACCACACCCCAGCACAGCCAACAGCAGGGCCUGGCUGAUCCUCACUGGCCCACGA
Long non-coding RNA from Passer domesticus (house sparrow), 443 nucleotides. RefSeq lists it as uncharacterized. The record is from RefSeq and is a predicted model, not a curated record. The transcript is spliced from 3 exons. Lineage: Eukaryota; Metazoa; Chordata; Aves; Passeriformes; Passeridae.